GGGUAAACAGGAUGGCAUUCAGGCGGCUGCGGGCUGCCGGGUUGAUGGCGUAAAUAAUGGUCUGGUGCGCCACCAGCGUCGCCUG
This 85-nucleotide transfer RNA is filed under the name Serratia plymuthica. Its description in RNAcentral is "tRNA-Arg(gcg)". The record is from RNAcentral. Lineage: Bacteria; Pseudomonadati; Pseudomonadota; Gammaproteobacteria; Enterobacterales; Yersiniaceae. RNAcentral also lists the same sequence under 1 other name.